Non-coding RNA from Xyrichtys novacula (pearly razorfish), 850 nucleotides. The record is from the annotation of a GenBank genome assembly. Lineage: Eukaryota; Metazoa; Chordata; Actinopteri; Labriformes; Labridae.
CAGCCAUCAACACAUUUGUGAAGGAAUUUUUACUCCCCAAAAGAGCGCCCCCCCAUGGCAGGAGAAAAAAGUCCAUUUUUUCUUGUCCCAUAAGGUGAAAAUUCACACUAUUGACUGUCACGCCUGUACGCUUUGUCAAAAUUACACAAAAAUUGACACACACAUGUAUCUCAAUAAGAUCUACAAAAAAGUCAGUGCUGGCGUAUCUGUCAAAUGUACGGUUAAAGGGUUAUUGCGCAUUUUUUGCCGAUCCGCACACAUUGGAAUUUCGCUAACUCCUCCGAAGGCUUUCGUUCCACCGGCACCACAUUUGCUCAGGCCAAUCUACACCCCAUGGCCAUUAAAAGUUAUUCAAAUCAUGACGCUGCACCCCACGGUUUAGGUUCUAGGGGGCGCCAAAGAUAACCCUAAAAUCCACAUAUUUAAAAGUCUUAUAACUUUUUAUUUUUGUCCUCUCUGGCCUCCAAGUUUUCUAGGAUGAUGCAAUGUCCAGCCAUCAACACAUUUGUGAAGGAAUUUUUACUCCCCAAAAGAGCGCCCCCCCAUGGCAGGAGAAAAAAAGUCCAUUUUUUCUUGUCCCAUAAGGUGAAAAUACACAUUGUUGACUGUCUUACCUGUAUGCUUUGUCAUAUUGACACAAAAUUUGACACACACAUGUAUCUCAAUAAGAUCUACGAAAAAGUCAAUGCGCGCGUAUCUGUAAAAUGUACGGUUAAAGGGCUAUUUUGCAUUUUUUGCCGAUUAGCACACAUUGGAAUGUGGCUAACUCCUCCUAAGGCUUUCGUCCCACUGACACCAAAUUUGCUCAGGCCAAUCUACACCCCAUGGCCAUUCAAAGUUGUAAAAAUCA